GAACCUGCGGAAGGAUCAUUAUUGAAAUAAACCUGAUGGGUUGCUGCUGGCUCUUUAGGGAGCAUGUGCACACUUGUCAUCUUUAUAUCUCCACCUGUGCACCUUUUGUAGACCUGGAUAUCUUUCUGAAUGCCUGGCAUUCAGGUUUGAGGAUUGACUUUUGUCUUUCCUUACAUUUCUAGGCCUAUGUUUUCUUCAUAUACCCCAUUUAUGUUUUAGAAUGUAAUGAAAGGGGCCUUUGUGCCUACAAACCUUAUACAACUUUCAGCAACGGAUCUCUUGGCUCUCGCAUCGAUGAAGAACGCAGCGAAAUGCGAUAAGUAAUGUGAAUUGCAGAAUUCAGUGAAUCAUCGAAUCUUUGAACGCACCUUGCGCUCCUUGGUAUUCCGAGGAGCAUGCCUGUUUGAGUGUCAUUAAUAUAUCAACCUCCUCAGGUUUUUACUUGUCGAGUGUUUGGAUGUGGGGGUUUCUUUUGCUGGUCUCUUUUGAGGUCUGCUCCCCUAAAAUGCAUUAGCGGAACAAUUUGUUGACCCGUUCAUUGGUGUGAUAACUAUCUACGCUUUUGUGGUGAAACAGGUUCAGCUUCUAACAGUCCAUUGACUUGGACAAAUUUUCAUUAAUGUGACCUCAAAUCAGGUAGGACUACCC
The sequence is a ribosomal RNA, 648 nucleotides long. The stretch from base 260 to 413 matches the Rfam family "5.8S ribosomal RNA".